RNAcentral lists this long non-coding RNA (337 nucleotides) under Oryza brachyantha (malo sina). RNAcentral's name for it is "long non-coding RNA (OBRA_LNC003286)". Lineage: Eukaryota; Viridiplantae; Streptophyta; Magnoliopsida; Poales; Poaceae. The record is from RNAcentral.
AAUUGGGAACUAGAGGAACGCACUAUGAGUUAGCAGCCCGUUUGUCUGAACAAGCAUCUUUUUUGAGAUAGAUAUGUCCUAGUAGAGUAAAACUCAUCCAUUCUCACUGUAACAUAACUGGUUAUUUCCAUGCUCUCUGAACAAGUGAGAACGGAGUGUGGAGUGUAGCUUGGAGCAUUGAAACACUGGAAGAACUUCAGUGAUAGCCUACUCCCAAGCCAGGAGGCAAACAACCUGUGGACCAAGCUGAGAGGACCAAGUUGAGAGGUAUAGUUGCAUUGACAUUGACUAGUGCCAGUAACCGCAUUGGUCUUGUGUAGGGAGAAGGCUGGGCAAA